RNAcentral lists this ribosomal RNA (466 nucleotides) under uncultured bacterium. Its description in RNAcentral is "partial 16S ribosomal RNA". It matches the Rfam family "Bacterial small subunit ribosomal RNA", at positions 28 to 507 of the family's 1533-position model. The record is from RNAcentral.
GAUGAACGCUGGCGGCGUGCUUAACACAUGCAAGUCGAACGAUGAAGCCCAGCUUGCUGGGUGGAUUAGUGGCGAACGGGUGAGUAACACGUGAGUAACCUGCCCUUAACUCUGGGAUAAGCCUGGGAAACUGGGUCUAAUACCGGAUAGGAGCGUCCACCGCAUGGUGGGUGUUGGAAAGAUUUAUCGGUUUUGGAUGGACUCGCGGCCUAUCAGCUUGUUGGUGAGGUAAUGGCUCACCAAGGCGACGACGGGUAGCCGGCCUGAGAGGGUGACCGGCCACACUGGGACUGAGGCACGGCCCAGACUCCUACGGGAGGCAGCAGUGGGGAAUAUUGCACAAUGGGCGCAAGCCUGAUGCAGCGACGCCGCGUGAGGGAUGACGGCCUUCGGGUUGUAAACCUCUUUCAGUAGGGAAGAAGCGAAAGUGACGGUACCUGCAGAAGAAGCACCGGCUAACUACGUG